Medicago truncatula (barrel medic) is the source of this 4629-nucleotide RNA transcript. It is a transcript of the gene named protein transport protein SEC23, with no coding region annotated. The transcript is spliced from 6 exons. NCBI's taxonomy places the organism in Eukaryota, Viridiplantae, Streptophyta, Magnoliopsida, Fabales, Fabaceae. The record is from RefSeq and is a predicted model, not a curated record.
AGCCAAUACAAUAGGAUCCAAAUAGUAAUAAACACCCACAAAACCCAAUUAACAACCACCACCUCACCCAACUGAGAAGGAAAGGGUUUAAAGCACUGCCGCCGUCGAAGUCUGCCGUCCAACGUACGCACCACCAUAAGCCACUGCCGAACAACAGCACUCUUCCGUUUCCUCCUUUACUCACACCGCCGCCGUUGAACCACCAUCUCGUCCAUCACCUCUUCCUCUCCGGUUUCAAGAAACGGAUCUAGAUUUUCAAUCAAUUCAUCCUCACAAUGGAUUUCGUUGAAUUGGAGGCAGUAGAAGGCCUCCGUUGGUCAUGGAAUUCAUGGCCAUCAACAACCAAAUCAGACCUAACAAUCCCUCUAACCAUCAUGUGCACACCACUCUCCCAACACGGCACUGACCUACCUCUUCUCCCUUACGAUCCUCUCCUCUGCACUCGAUGCGGCGCCGUUUUAAACCCUUACGCUCGUCUCGAUUAUCAAUCACGUAUCUGGCACUGUCCCUUUUGUUCUCAACGAAACCCUUUUCCUCGCUCCAUCGCCGACGCUAAUCUUCCCGCUGAACUCUUUCCUACUUACACCACUGUUGAAUACUCUUCUUCUUCUUCUUCUUCUUCUUCUUCACUUUUUCAUCCUCCAGCUUUUAUUUUUGUUAUCGAUGUUUCCACUUCUCAAGAUGAGCUUUGUUCACUUAAGAAUGAGAUUUUGCUUCUUCUUCAUCAUUUGCCUGAUACUGCUCUUGUUGCUUUGAUUACUUUUGAUUCAAUGGUUUAUCUUCAUGAUAUUCAGUUUUCUCACUGUUCCAGGAUCGUUCUUUUGCACGGUGAACACCAAUUUUCUUCCGAUCAGAUACGGCAGUUCCUGAACAUUAGCCGUCCACACCAGCUGCAUACUGGACAAACACAGCCUGUUCCAAAGCAGGGAUUUCUGGUUCCAAUUUCAGAAUGUGAGUUUAGUAUCACUGCUGCAAUUGAAGAUAUUCAUUCUUCGUAUAACUUCAGGUCCGGAAACCGUCCCCCGAGGUCCACUGGAGCUGCAAUUUCAGCUGCCCUUGGACUUUUAGAGUGUUGUUUUGUAAAUACCGGCUCUAGAAUCAUGGUCUUCACUUCUGGGCCUGCGACUCUUGGACCUGGACUGGUUGUGGACUCUGAUUUCCGGCAAUCCAUGAGAACCCACAAUGACAUUUUCAACGGGCAGGCGAGACAUCAUUCUAAAUCUUGCAGUUUCUAUAGGCAGAUUGCGAAGAGGCUGUUUGAUGCGUCUGUUGUUCUUGAUCUGUUUGCUUGCUCCCUUGACCAAGUUGGAGUUGCCGAGCUUCGAGAACCCAUUGAGCGUUCGGGUGGAUUUGUGGUUCUUGCCGAAUCCUUUGAAUCAGAUCAAUUUAGGAAAUGUCUAAGGCACUUGUUUAAACAUGAUGAUGAUGAGGGAUUUUUGAAGAUGAAUUUUGAUGCAACCAUUGAAAUAGUGACUACUAAUGAUGUCAAAAUUUCUGGAGCUCUUGGACCUUGCAUGUCUCUUAGAAAAAAGAACGCUUCAGUGAGUGAGACUGAGGUUGGACAAGGUGGUACCUGCGUGUGGAAGUUGAAUACACUCACUGACCGAACUUGCAUUGCUUUUUUCUUCCAAGUUAGUGAUAAACAGACCAUUCAGCCCAGCUCUGCAUUUAUGGUUCAGUUUAUAACACGGUACAGGCAAGGGAACAUGGGUCUCAGAAAAAGAGUCACCACUGCUGCACGACGAUGGGUUGCAAACCAUUCCACAGAUAUUGCUGCUGGGUUUGAUCAAGAAGCAGCAGCUUCGGUUAUGGCAAGACUUGCCAUUCUCCGAGCAGAGACGUGUCAUGCCCGUGAUGUUGUUAGAUGGCUUGAUGACACACUUAUCCGUUUUACCUCUAAGUUUGGGGACUAUGUGCCAGAAGAUCCUUCUUCCUUCCGUUUAUCUUCAAACUUUUCCCUUUAUCCCCAAUUUAUGUUCCACUUAAGGAGAUCCCAAUUUAUUGAUGUCUCUAACACUACUCCUGAUGAAACUGCGUAUUUCCGGCUUAUGCUGAACCGCGAGGGAGUAGUUGGAUCCCUUAUAAUGAUUCAACCUACACUUUUUCAAUAUUCGUUUGAUGGGCCACCCAUUCCUGUACUUCUAGAUAUUCGUUCCAUUUGCCCCGAUUCUAUCUUGCUCUUUGAUUCAUUCUUCCUUGUGGUGAUCCAUUAUGGGUCCAAGAUUGCUCAGUGGAAGAAGCUUGGUUAUGAUAAGGACCCAAACCAUGAAAAUUUUAGAAAGCUGUUGGAAGCUCCAGAACUGGAUGCAGAACAGUUGGUGGCUGAACGGGUUCCAGUGCCAAAGGUUAUAAGAUGUGACCAGCAUAGUAGUCAGGCUAGGUUUCUUCUUGCCAAGUUGAAUCCAUCUGUUACGCAAAAUUCAACAUACACAGAUGGUUCGGAUAUCAUCUUUACGGAUGACUUGAGCUUGCAAGUUUUUCUAGACCAAUUGCAGAUACUGGCAGUUCAAGGCUGAUAAGAAAUUUCAGGACAAACGAUAGAAAUGAUUUUUUGAUUGUGUGGCAGCAUGUACUGAAGCAAAAAAUGCAGCAAAUUUGUAGGUUUUAUUUAGACAAAGAAUGAAUGAGCCACUGUCGUGGAGUGCCAAAGUCAGGAUGUCAUUUAGUUCCACAACAUUAACCAUGCUCACGGGGAAGAAAAACCCUUCAAUUCUUCGAGAAAAUGGUGGUGAUUAAUUAAUCUAAAUUGGUUGAGAAGUAAGUAAAGGCACAACAAAAAAAAUUCACCUUAGAAUUGAACUCAGGUACAAGCCAAACUAUUCAAUUCAACUUUAGAUGAAGUUCAGACACCACUUGAGUUCUAUUACUUGAUUAUCAUUGAUUUUUUAUAUGGCUUGAAGAUAUUUUGGAAGAGAGAUAGAUGAAUUGAGUCAUGUAAUAUUAGUUGAAUGAAACUUCACCUUUAAUUGUUGGAGGAGGGCUAACUUGCCCAAACAUCUCUGGUUCAUCAUCGUUGUUGUAGAAUUGGGACAAUCCAAACAUCAUAUAGCAGCUAGGAUAUAGAAUUUUUCCCUCUGGACUUGCCAAACUACUCCAAGGAAUUUCAUUUUGGAAAAUGUUUUGCAGGCAGGCUCUGCAAUCUGUAUCAGACAGAUCUGGCGUACAUUGAGCAAGAGUGUAUAUGGGUUGAAGAUCAUUCAAUUUUACUGAUCUUGUUUCAUAAUUCUUAAUGGUUCUAUCCCCUGUCUGUAAAUUCCCCACUUCAUGUAAGAUAUCUGCCAGUUUCCAAGUUGUGAAUCUAUGCAGCAGGUUGAGGUUAGAACUAUUGGCCAAAUUGAAUUGGUGAAAUUUUGGAGCACUUGUAUCAAUACGUGAAAGGAGAGAAUGAUAGGAAUAGCGGAGUAAACAUUUAUCGUACCAAAUUAUAGCCUCUUUGGAGGAAGGGCACUCCGAUAAUAUUCUUUUUGUUGCAUGUUGGAUACAUAGCUGACAGAGGGUAGGGGAGAUGGAGAUAUCACCACGGCACAUAAAGAGACCAUUGGCAGUGUCGACUGUCGUCUUUAAGAAACUGGUUCUGAUGGCAUUGGAAGACAAAGAAGUGAAGAAUGUUUUGAGAUUUGAUAGAAAAUCAUUGUUCACGGGUUCAUUGAUUGAACAGUUGUGGGAAAGAUAAGCAGGAUGUUGUGAGUAUUUUGAAUCGAUUGUAUUGGAAGCUGGAACGAGUUCUUGUGGUGUUGGAGCAUUACUGGGGCGAUAGAAAGGGUACACAUCAUAUCUGAUGUAACAACUGUCUGGUGUGCACUGAGCUUGAAAAUAAAGGGUCUGAAAUCCAGAUACUGUUGCUUCCUUUGUGGCAUACUUCUGGAAGCCAAUAGAGAAGUUGGCUGCCUCGUCUGCCACUCCAUUCAAAGUUUUGUAAACUAAACGCUCAAAUAUUGCCUUGUUGGAAACAUUAACAUGGUGGCAUGAGAUAGAAGGUGAACUAAAGUCAGCAGUGGGGAAGAAAGAGUAGUUGGAAUAUUGCACCAUGCACUCCUUGUACAUAAUCACCACCUCUUUGGACAAGGAACAAUCAGAGUAGUCUGAGGAUAAAUUGGCACGAGUUACGUUUGUGACACGCUCACUGCAGAGAUGAGUAGGGACAUCACCCUUACACAUAAACAAGCCAUAGACUGUGUUGGAGGAGUGGUUUUUGUCUGCUACCGUAGUGUUGUAGAAUUCUUUGUUGGCAGUGGCGUUUGAAGAUAAAUCUAAUAGGAGGGUCCUGAGAUUCAAUUGGAAAGCGCUAUUUGGAGUGGUUUUGUUGUCUGAGCAAGACAUGAAAAGCAGGCCAUCGUUUUCUGCUUUAGUGGUUACAAAAUUGACGAAGCAAACAAGGAUAAAAAUAAAGACGCGGUUGAAGGAGGCCGUGGAGUGUUUGUUAGUCUUUGAUUGCACUACCAUGAUGGAUGUAGUAAUGCUCGUGCUGCUAUAAGUUUUGCUGUUUUGUAUUAGUCUCAAUGGUUUCCAUAUUUAUUAAAAUUUAAAUUGAAAGUUCAACUCCUAGUUGUAGUUUGGUCAAACAGUGUAGGGCACAGCAGCACAAGUCAAUGAAUCCAAAUGUCAAUGAAAGCUAGUACGUUUUGAUAA